UCUGAUACCAUUUCAGUUGCAGCGGGUCCAUACAACCAUGGGGGGUUUACAUCUUUUAGAUCAGUCCCUUGCAAAGUUCAUAUACAAAAGCACAUCCAACAACUCCCUUCCCUAUAUUCAGAAAACGAUGCACACCUACUAAACAUUUUUAGGUAAAAGUCGAACACUUUUAUUUACUUAAACCAGAUGGACAUCAUUCAUGGGUACAUCAAAAUGCCGUAGUCUUCUAUACUCGGCUAUAGUUCAAAAGAUGACAGACAUCUCCUCCAACAGUCGUAUACUUAAAGUCCAUCAAUUAGUGUCGGCGUCCAAAAGUUCCUUCCUUUGCUAUCCUUCUCUUCGCGUUCAUAUCCAACCACUUGAUCCAUAUACCGGUGGCAGUGGCAGCAGAUGUAUCUUAUCUAGUCUGAAAUGUUAGUCCCCAAAAGGGGUGAGUACAACCAAUCAGCAGUAAAGAUCCACCAAACUACACAAUGCAACAAGCAAGACAAUCAAGAUAUCACGAGUAAAGCACAUAUCAUCCAUGCAUUCGAGCAUACCUCAUCUUACAGCCAUGCAUAUAUCACCAUACAACAUGCAUAUGUCACCAUACACUUGUAUUUAUAUCAUCAAACAGCCAUGCAUAUAUCACCAUGCAACGUGCAUAUACCACCAUGGACUUCAUGCUUGCAUUCCCAUGAGGUUCAUCCCAUGCCAUAUGUACACAUACAUACUCAUGAUUCAUAUCAUCCACAUCUCAUCCAUUCAAGCCUUCAUGAUCGCAUUCUCAAUGUCAAAUAGUAUCAAUUUACUUUCAUAAGCAAAUCAUGCAUCAUGCCAUAUGCAUACACCCAUGCACAUGAUUCAAUUUCAAUAUUCAUCUUUCACUAGGAUCUCAUCAUUUUUCUUCUAGGGACCAAUGUUAGCAUCCCUCAAUUCAUCGCUCGCACCCAACCUAGCAUCGUGAGGAACCUCCGGCACACACCUUCGAGCAUCUCGCAUCCCACCUGGCAUCACGAAGAAUCUCCCCAUCACACACCUCCAGGGCUUCCGAGAUUACGUACCGACAUACCACCAGGCAUUCCCCCUGAAAUUACGUACCGUAUACCACCGGGCAUCUCGAAACUCCCGAGGACCCUCCGGAAUUAUGCCACUGGGCCACCGAGCAUCCGGCACCCCCACAUUCUAGGCAUCCUGACACUCUCGGGGCAUCGUCGGCUCACACCUCCAACGGUAUCCUCAUUUAUCAUAAUUCAUAUUCACAUUUGUGUCUCAAUAUCAACAUGGCACAUGAUGUGAUGGCAACAAGGUCAAUUUCAGCUUUUGAUUUGAUAUGUAAUGCCAAAUAUCAUCGCAUGUGCAGCAAAAUUCAAUCACUUAAAAACAACAUAAUUCAUGAGGCAAACUCCUGGAUUAUUGCUAUUAUUUUAGGAACGGAAUGCGUUCUUUUAAUUUACACUUCUUAAAGUUUAGUGAUUGACCCUAAUAAUUUCUAAGAAUUUAAUACCUCAUAGACAAGCUCUAGAGGCCUUUAUCUCAUGAAGAACAUAACACCACCAGAAUUUCAUACAAACAGAAUAGUCCAUGCAUUACAGCUUUUGAAAUUCGCACAAUCCAGCUUGUACAGUUUUAGAAAAUUUUUUAAUUAAAUACACAAAUGACCUUCAAAAAUUAUGAAAUUCGAACAUGUGAUAGUCAAGACAUAAAGGCAGCUAUUUCAUGAAUAACACUAUACCAAAAUAUCCCCAUAUAGUUCAAUAAAGACCACGCAUCACAGCACUACUAAUUCUGUCCGUUCCACUUGCACAGUUUUUGAAACAUUUUUGGUUAAAUAGGCAAAUGAACUUCACAAAUCACGAAAUUAUAAUAUGUUGUAGGAAAGACAUAAAAAAAGAUAUUUCAUGCAGAACACUUUUCCAAAAUAAUCUCAUACAAAACGGUAUAGACCAUGCAUUGCAACAUUACCAAGUCCGAACACAUCAGAUUACACAGUUUUAGAAACAUUUUCGAUUAAAUACACAAAUUACAUUCAAAAAUUAUGAAAUUUUACUAUGUGAUAGAAAAUACCAUAAGGUAAAUACCUCAUGAGCAUCGAAUUCAAAUUCGUUCUAGAUAAUUAAAUAUGGACGGUUAAAAUCCCUGUUCGUAGUACUGUAAUUCCAGAUCUAACCAUCUCCAAAGAACCACGAUUUUACCUACCUAUUCUUGUUUUUUUUUCUCUAAAUUUUUGAUAUGUUGUACCUCAGGAUGUCUUUUACAACUUUUGUUAAGAAACAAAAGUGAAAUUUCGACAAAAAGGUUGCCUUACAGUCCAUGCAUUCAUCAAGGGUCGGUACCAAAAUCUCCAGAUCUAGUCUUUCCAAAGAAUAACGAUUUCACCCACUUAUACUAGUUUUUUUUGUCCCAAAUUUGAAAAUGUUAUACUCCAAGAAGUCCUUUACAACUUUCAUGAAGAAAUCGAAACAAUAUUCCAACUAAAAAGUCGCAUGCAGCACACAAACUCAUGGAUAGUCGAACUGGUCUUUCCAGAAACAGCAUGCAUGGUCAACGAAUCUCUCUCCAUAGCUCCGAAAUUUCAUCCCAUCUACCACAACCAAGACUUACCAUCUACUACACAUACACACAGCAAUGCAAAGGGUAGGUUUUAGGACUUCACUUGCCUCAAAUCAAAAGAAAACACAGCAAGAACGACGGCGGGACUAGGCGGGCUCGACGGCGUCUCCUCUUCCUCUCUCUCUCUCUUCCUCUCUUUCUCUCUUUCUCUCUUCUUUCUUUGGAUGCCCCUCCCCCUCUCGAGCUCUCCAGCCCUUUUCUUUCCUCCCCUUCAAUGAUUUGAUUGCAU
Molecule: long non-coding RNA, 2821 nt
Filed under: Eucalyptus grandis
Lineage: Eukaryota; Viridiplantae; Streptophyta; Magnoliopsida; Myrtales; Myrtaceae
Description: long non-coding RNA (EGRA_LNC006804)
Source: RNAcentral